UGGGGAAUAUUGCGCAAUGGGGGAAACCCUGACGCAGCUACGCCGCGUGGGUGAUGAAGGCCUUCGGGUUGUAAAGCCCUGUCUGUGGGGAAGAAGAAUGACGGUACCCACAAAGAAAGCACCGGCUAACCCUGUGCCAGCAGCCGCGGUAAUACAGGGGGUGCAAGCGUUGCUCGGAAUCACUGGGCGUAAAGCGAGCGCAGGCGGACCGUUAAGUCGGGUGUGAAAUCCCGGGGCUCAACCCCGGAACUGCAUUCGAAACUGGCGGUCUUGAGUACGGGAGAGGUGAGUGGAAUUCCUGGUGUAGAGGUGAAAUUCGUAGAUAUCAGGAGGAACACCGGUGGCGAAAGCGGCUCACUGGCCCGAUACUGACGCUCAUGCUCGAAAGCGUGGGGAGCAAACAG
Molecule: ribosomal RNA, 404 nt
Filed under: uncultured bacterium
Lineage: Bacteria
Description: bacterial SSU rRNA
Rfam family: Bacterial small subunit ribosomal RNA
Source: RNAcentral